This 600-nucleotide long non-coding RNA is filed under the name Mytilus galloprovincialis (Mediterranean mussel). Lineage: Eukaryota; Metazoa; Mollusca; Bivalvia; Mytilida; Mytilidae. The record is from RNAcentral.
GUCCUGAGGCUUGUUCCUCUACCAGAAAGUGAAAACGCGGAUUAUCCUGAUAAUGAGAAUAGUUUAUUUUUAUGAAAACUUAUACAAACUAUUUACUAUAUAUCAUAAUACACAUCAUCAUUUUUAUAACCAUUUACCAUAACUUUUCAACAUUAAUUAUAGAAUAACUAAUCGAAGAAUUCAAAUAGAGAAAAAUAUUCAACGAGUGACCGAACAACACAUUAAUUCACGAAUGCGCAUAGCGCAUGAGUUAAUUAUCAGUGUUGUUCGGUCACGAGUUGAAUAUUUUUCGAUAUUUGAAUUCUUUGAUUAGUUAUUCUUUUUAUUACAUUGGCAAAUGGCUCUUUUUUUUUGAAAUUAAUGUAGAAAAUGUAAGGAACUAUAUGUUUUUCCUACGCAUGUUUUGAUCCGAUGUUAUUGACGUCUUGACAACACCUAUUGUUGUAUGACGUCAGAGAGUGAAAUAACCACGUUUAUUUCACAUGUGAAAUUAUCGGUUUUUAUUUGACUGGGAAAUCAAUGUAAUUCAUUGCAACCAAUGUAAUAAUAUAUCUUAAAACAGAUAAACAAAGAUUCAAAAUCCUGAUUGGUAAUGUAUAC